GUGAGGAAUAUUGGUCAAUGGACGAGAGUCUGAACCAGCCAAGUAGCGUGAAGGAUGACUGCCCUAUGGGUUGUAAACUUCUUUUAUAAGGGAAUAAAGUGAGGGACGUGUCCCUUUUUGUAUGUACCUUAUGAAUAAGGAUCGGCUAACUCCGUGCCAGCAGCCGCGGUAAUACGGAGGAUCCGAGCGUUAUCCGGAUUUAUUGGGUUUAAAGGGAGCGUAGGUUGACGUAUAAGUCAGCUGUGAAAGUUUACGGCUCAACCGUGAAAUUGCAGUGGAUACUGUAUGUCUUGAGUGUACAAGAGGUGGGCGGAAUUCGUGGUGUAGCGGUGAAAUGCUUAGAUAUCACGAAGAACUCCAAUUGCGAAGGCAGCUCACUGGGGUACAACUGACACUGAGGCUCGAAAGUGUGGGUAUCAAACAGGAUUAGAAACCCUUGUAGUCC
Molecule: ribosomal RNA, 445 nt
Filed under: uncultured bacterium
Lineage: Bacteria
Description: partial 16S ribosomal RNA
Rfam family: Bacterial small subunit ribosomal RNA
Source: RNAcentral